RNAcentral lists this ribosomal RNA (484 nucleotides) under uncultured bacterium. Its description in RNAcentral is "partial 16S ribosomal RNA". It matches the Rfam family "Bacterial small subunit ribosomal RNA", at positions 28 to 523 of the family's 1533-position model. The record is from RNAcentral.
GAUGAACGCUGGCGGCGUGCCUAAUACAUGCAAGUCGAGCGAACCACUUCGGUGGUGAGCGGCGAACGGGUGAGUAACACGUAGGUGAUCUGCCCAUCAGACGGGGACAACGAUUGGAAACGAUCGCUAAUACCGGAUAGGACGAAAGUUUAAAGGUGCUUCUGGCACCGCUGAUGGAUGAGCCUGCGGCGCAUUAGCUAGUUGGUAGGGUAAAGGCCUACCAAGGCGACGAUGCGUAGCCGACCUGGGAGGGUGAACGGCCACACUGGGACUGAGACACGGCCCAGACUCCUACGGGAGGCAGCAGUAGGGAAUCUUCGGCAAUGGGCGAAAGCCUGACCGAGCAACGCCGCGUGAAUGAUGAAGGCCUUCGGGUUGUAAAAUUCUUUUGUUUAUGACGAACGUGCGAGUUGUGAAUAAUGACUUGUAAUGACGGUAGUAAACGAAUAAGCCACGGCUAACUACGUGCCAGCCGCCGCGGUAA